RNAcentral lists this transfer RNA (77 nucleotides) under Geobacter sp. AOG2. RNAcentral describes it as "tRNA-Pro". It matches the Rfam family "tRNA". Rfam says of the family: Transfer RNA (tRNA) molecules are approximately 80 nucleotides in length. Their secondary structure includes four short double-helical elements and three loops (D, anti-codon, and T loops). Lineage: Bacteria; Pseudomonadati; Thermodesulfobacteriota; Desulfuromonadia; Geobacterales; Geobacteraceae. RNAcentral also lists the same sequence under 1 other name. The record is from RNAcentral.
CGGGGAGUAGCGCAGCCUGGUAGCGCACCUGUCUUGGGCACAGGGGGUCGCAGGUUCGAAUCCUGUCUCCCCGACCA